GGCGAACGCUGGCGGCGGGCUUAACACAUGCAAGUCGAACGGAAAGGCCCUGCGUUUGUGGGGUGCUCGAGUGGCGAACGGGUGAGUAACACGUGAGUAACCUGCUCUUGACUUUGGGAUAACUUCAGGAAAGUGGGGCUAAUACCGUAUAGGAGCUCCUGCUGCGUGGUGGGGGUGGGAAAUUUUCGGCUGGUGGGGAUGGACUCGCGGCUUAUCAGCUUGUUGGUGGGGUAGUGGCUGACCAAGGCUUUGACGGGUAGCCGGCCUGAGAGGGUGACCGGCCACAUGGGGCCUGAGAUACGGCCCAGACUCGUACGGGAGGCAGCAGUGGGGAAUAUUGCACAAUGGGCGGAAGCCGGAUGAAGCAACGCCGCGUGCGGGAUGACGGCCUUCGGGUUGUAAACCGCUUUCGCCUGUGACGAAGCGUGAGUGACGGUAAUGGGUAAAGAAGCACCGGCUAACUACGUG
RNAcentral lists this ribosomal RNA (468 nucleotides) under uncultured bacterium. RNAcentral describes it as "partial 16S ribosomal RNA". It matches the Rfam family "Bacterial small subunit ribosomal RNA", at positions 28 to 507 of the family's 1533-position model. The record is from RNAcentral.